RNAcentral lists this ribosomal RNA (253 nucleotides) under uncultured bacterium. Its description in RNAcentral is "partial 16S ribosomal RNA". It matches the Rfam family "Bacterial small subunit ribosomal RNA", at positions 524 to 776 of the family's 1533-position model. The record is from RNAcentral.
UACGUAGGGUGCCAGCGUUGUCCGGAAUUAUUGGGCGUAAAGAGCUCGUAGGCGGUUUGUCGCGUCUGGUGUGAAAAUCCAGGGCUUAACCCUGGACCUGCAUCGGGUACGGGCAGACUAGAGUGCGGUAGGGGAGAUCGGAAUUCCUGGUGUAGCGGUGAAAUGCGCAGAUAUCAGGAGGAACACCGGUGGCGAAGGCGGAUCUCUGGGCCGUAACUGACGCUGAGGAGCGAAAGCAUGGGGAGCGAACAGG